AAAGUCCCUGUCUGGUAAGGUCUAGCCAACCACCAGUAUCGAGUCUUGCGUGUUGUGCGGAGGUUAUGGAUUAUCGAAGAUUCUCCCGUGGUGCGGCCACAAAUAAUUGAACAAGCAAUGCGAAGCGUAGACAGAGAAUAAUGUAGGCCAUAGGGGAUGCUGUGUCCCUGAAGUGUUGAAAUCGCUGCGAAA
Molecule: non-coding RNA, 192 nt
Organism: Catenovulum agarivorans DS-2
Lineage: Bacteria; Pseudomonadati; Pseudomonadota; Gammaproteobacteria; Alteromonadales; Alteromonadaceae
Source: Rfam